Molecule: RNA transcript, 1923 nt
Organism: Triticum dicoccoides
Lineage: Eukaryota; Viridiplantae; Streptophyta; Magnoliopsida; Poales; Poaceae
Exons: 4
Source: RefSeq, a predicted model, not a curated record
GUCAGUGCAGGCUCUUGUAGCGCUGGCCAUCCUCUUCCUCUUCUAGGAAAAAAAAGGUUGGAUCGGUCGAUCGAUGCGGCGCGGCGAUGUCGACGACGACGUCAGGCACCACCGCCGGAUUCCCCGCGCCGACGAGAUCGAUGCUGCCAGGUUCCCCAUGACAAUCUGUUACAGCGACGACGACGAGGAGAUCGAUCUGAAGUCGCCGUCGGAGAUCGUAGCCCUCUACGCCGCGUGCCGCGACCGCAUCACCGAGUACGACCCCAAGAAGAGAGCCCGCGUUCUCACCCGCUUCUGCGGCGUCAACCUCGCCGGCUUCGACCUCGACAGAGAGUCCAAGGUUGGCCUCGGGCCGCUGCUUGAGGAUGUAACGCCGCAGCUGUGGGAGCUCCGGGCGGGGACGUCGUACAAUGUCGUUUCGGUCAAGGUAAUCGAAUCCGAUCGGGGCUACCCGGUCAGUGUGUUCGGUACCGUUCUCGUGAGAGAUAGCAUCGACUACAGAUGCGUCUAUCUGUUCAGACGCGAGAGAGAAGAUCCCCAGAUCAUCAACUCCAAGGAGGAUAUGUUAGCAUUGACAGGUCCACGUCGAGGAUUAGUAGCAUUUGAUAAUAUACAUUUUGAGUUCAACCUGAAGGUAAAGGGUGAUCCUGAUGAUGAAGACUUUAGCAAAGGCGUAAUUGAGUCCCGCACCUUUGACUCUGGACCCAUAACUAUGAUGCUACCUAGUUGGCUCAGUACAGUGGAAUUAGUAUUUGCACCUGUUAAACAUCCGGUGGCGGCUAGCCUCCAAAUCAACAUUCUGAACGGUCCGCCCUAUGCCCCUUUCGUUGGCAAAGUAUCUGCUGGGACUAGAAAUGCCGAGACCCAUAUUAUUCUAUACGAUGGUAGAGCAAUGAGUUGCAGCGGGAUAUUAGUCGGAGAUGAUGGCUCCAUUCCCUUGAGUCGUAAUUUGGUGGUUAUCCCUAUACCUACAUGGGACGAUGAUGAAGAGUUUUUGGUCCAUGUUUGUAUUUUUGAUAAUGACGAGGAUGAAGGCACUCAUGUUACUCUACAGCACCCUGAUGAAGAGCAUGUUUGCACUCACGGUUCCUAUGAGCUAAAAGUGAAGGUUACAUGGACUGCCAUCCUCACAAGACCGAUGGGUGCCAAAUAUAACCCAAAGAGGAACCUCUCUUGGGCCGAGCGUUAUGGUUCGCUGAAUUACAGUGGUUGAUGAUGGUGAUUGUUGACCCUUGUCUGUGACGUGGGAGGACAUGGCCCUGUAGCCAGAACUUGCAGAAGACGCCCACUUCACUUUUUCAGGUUUGAUAUGGACAGUUCUCUUCAGAACUGCGAGCUUCGUCAUCAGAUCAAUUACCUUAAUCCCGCGCCAAGGUUUGUUUUGCGCCACAGAACCUGAAAUGACAUCCCACUGGUUGAACAGCUCAGUGUGCUCCUUGGGUACCGGACUAUCCAGUUCUUCGUCAAUGUUGUCAGUCACCCAUGUCCUCCAGAGCGCGAAGCGGAUUGCUUCGCAAAUCAUUACAGUCGGGAAAGAUAGGGGGCCGGAUUUCAGAACCUGAAGUCCCCUCUCACUGCGGUAUAGCUCUCCAAGUUCUCCCAAGCUGGCGAUGCAGUGGGUAAAAGCUGCUUUACCCACGUUUAUGCCGAAUCCACCUAUCUUCAAGUAGGAGCUAGUGAGGGGCAACUGGACGGUCCCAAGUCCAGGCCUGCUGGUAUUGUACGGGAACUGAUCUCCAGACGGCGGAAGUAUGUCCGUACCAAAUUCAGAGUAGCGAUACCACACACCUGUAGUGUAAAACAAACAAACAAACAAGUCUUGUAAUAGCUUGACAAGAAUAUAAUAACGUGCUUAAGAAGUGUUUCCAUUUGCUUUUCUGUUUAUGCUCACAGAUUAAUGGGUAAUUUGGUAGCCGGAACCGA